GACGAACGCUGGCGGCGUGCUUAACACAUGCAAGUCGAACGGAAAGGCCCUUCGGGGUACUCGAGUGGCGAACGGGUGAGUAACACGUGAGUAACCUGCCCCCUUCUUUGGGAUAACUGUCGGAAACGAUGGCUAAUACCGAAUACACACCACCGGUCGCAUGGUGGGGGGUGGAAAGUUUUUCGGUGGGGGAUGGGCUCGCGGCCUAUCAGCUUGUUGGUGGGGUGAUGGCCUACCAAGGCUUUGACGGGUAGCCGGCCUGAGAGGGCGACCGGCCACACUGGGACUGAGACACGGCCCAGACUCCUACGGGAGGCAGCAGUGGGGAAUAUUGCACAAUGGGCGGAAGCCUGAUGCAGCGACGCCGCGUGAGGGAUGACGGCCUUCGGGUUGUAAACCUCUUUCAGCAGGGACGAAGCGAGAGUGACGGUACCUGCAGAAGAAGCGCCGGCCAACUACGUGCCAGCCGCCGCGGUAAGAC
Molecule: ribosomal RNA, 481 nt
Filed under: uncultured bacterium
Lineage: Bacteria
Description: bacterial SSU rRNA
Rfam family: Bacterial small subunit ribosomal RNA
Source: RNAcentral